RNAcentral lists this non-coding RNA (123 nucleotides) under Sphaerotilus natans. RNAcentral's name for it is "ZTP sequence". It matches the Rfam family "ZMP/ZTP riboswitch aptamer (pfl RNA motif)". Rfam says of the family: Previously known as pfl RNA. ZMP is also known as AICAR. The record is from RNAcentral. Lineage: Bacteria; Pseudomonadati; Pseudomonadota; Betaproteobacteria; Burkholderiales; Sphaerotilaceae.
GCCCGACCACGCAACUGGCGUUCAAGGCCCGCAUCGGGCCGAGGUGGGCAACCACCGGGGAGCGUGGUCGCCGCAGGCGCAUCGGCUUGCGGCGGUUUCUUGCCGUGCGCCUGGGCAGCCCGA